Long non-coding RNA from Impatiens glandulifera, 3764 nucleotides. RefSeq lists it as uncharacterized. The transcript is spliced from 2 exons. NCBI's taxonomy places the organism in Eukaryota, Viridiplantae, Streptophyta, Magnoliopsida, Ericales, Balsaminaceae. The record is from RefSeq and is a predicted model, not a curated record.
CCUAAAUCACUGAUCCUUCUCUCACCACCGCAGCCGCAUUUAUCCGAUCCUCCAUUAAAGCGGUAAGAUUCCUCUCUUUCUCUAGAUCGCAUACUUAUUUAUAUACUCUUUUCGCUACCGCUGUCUGAAACCGCUGACCGAUCGUCGCCAAUCUCAUUCACUGCAUCAAAAGCGAAAAACGGGGGUGAAAUGAUCAUUCAUCCCCUAUUGUAAGCUAUUCUUUAUCAUUUCCACUACUAUUACUAUUAUUAUCUAUGUAUCUUAUAACAAAAACAAAGAAGAAACUGCUUGUUUGAAAUUUCUCUUAAGUUUUUACUGCCGUUCAUGUUCAAAGGAAUAUAGAACACAAAAUAAGAAGAAGAUUGAGAACUCACGGAUCUGAUCAUAAUCAUAAUGAUUAUUAUCAUGCUCAAGUAUGCAAAUAUCCAUGAUUAUAUGUUUUAGGACAUUCAUACAUUUGUAGAGUUGCAAAUCCACUGAACUUCUUUGUAUUCUUGGAACAAGAACUUGACAUUGAGAUCUUCUAAGUAGUCAUAAUAACUUAUCUCCAAGACCUUAUUUAUCUUGUUGCUAUGGAGUUGUUGAAUUUGCAACUAAAAACCAUAUCAUCAGCAAAUUUACUUGCUAUUUCAUUCUUUAAAUUAUCAAUAUCAUGUAGAUUGACUUUUCUUUUGAUCAAAUUUGAUGCUUCUUCACUUAGCAAUAUGUAAGAGUUAAUGGGUUGUUCUUAGGUUCUAGAUAUGUGAAUAAUUUGCAAAUAGCUUCUCCCCUUAAUGGGUUGUUCUUGGGUUCUAGAUAUGUGAAUAAUUUGCAAAUAGCUUAUCCCCUUCUUGACAACCCAACCACCCGGCCUCACUCUUAUUCACCCCCAAAAUUACUCAUUUAUCCCUACCACCUUUAUAUAUUUACUUUACUUUUCUUAUUUUAUUUACUUUACUUAUUUACUUUUCUAUUUAAAUUAACUUAUUUAUUAAAAUUAAAUAACUAAAGUAAAUAAAAUAAGAAAAAUAAAUAUAUAAAGGUGGUAGGGGUAAAUUGGUAAUUUUGGGGUGAGUAGGAGUGUGGCCGAGGGUGAGAAUGUAGAGUGGGGAGAAACUAUUUGCAUAUAUAAUUUUUCCAAUAUUUCUCAUCUCAAAAUCUUCAUCUUGUUGUCUUGUAUAAAUCUUACUUUGACAAUAGAAAUCAGAAACAUCUUCAUUUUAAUCGUGUAUAUUUAUAUUCAAUGUGGUAAUGCAAGACUUGUGUGUGAUAAAUUACCACUACAUUGAAGGAGGUAAAUAGGAUCAAAGAUGAAUUGUCCUUUGAUUUUCAAAGAUCUUCAAUAUGGUGCAAAUUUGUCACGCACACGUCUUGUCACACCCAAAAGAUACGUAAAUAUGCGUGAUUAUAAUGAAAAUCCUUUCAAUUUUGAUAGUCAAUUUAGAUUAUGAAAGAUAUUAUUUGAGAUCUUACAAGAUAAAAAUUUAAUGUUAAUAGGGAUAUGCCUGAUGAGAAGUAUUGGAUAGAUUAUAUAUGUUAAACAAGUCCUCUAAAAAGAUAAAAAGAAAACAUUCAUGUUAUUUUGAUUGUCUCCAAUAAUCUCAGUUUUAAGCAUAUCCAACAGGAAUUGCUCAUUUAGGCCCACAUGCUUGGAGGCUCCCAACAAGCAUGUUCUAUAGUCGUUAAUCGUGUUGUGCCAACCAAUGACCUGAUUGACUCGUACAUGCAAGUUAGGUUUGGACAUGUAAACAUGAUAAAAAAAAAUUGAACACACUUUUUUUUGUUGGAUAUCUCAUUUAGAUAUUGAUUUAGAUGAGAUAAUGGUUUGAAACAUAAUUUAAUUGACAGAUAUUAUAAUUUUGUUACCAUUUUAUCGUCCAACUAUAGAAAGGGUUUGCAGACAGCUAUUGUGGAUAUUAUCAUUAAAACAAUUACUGGAUGGAGUAAAAAUGUGUACUUGUCAUUUUUUCUCUGUCGAGCCAUAGAAAUCAUUAUUGGAGGAGGAUAGAAAAAAAUUUACUGUCAGAUGAACAGUUUCUUUGCUCGAUUUAUCUUCUAACUCUCUGUUUCAUUGUUAGGUGUGCAAAAUAAUGGGCUUUUUUUUAUAUUUGAAAAAACAUACAUAUGACAAAAGUUUGAUAUAUUUCAUCUUGGCUCGAAUCACUUUGUCACCGGGUAGUGUUUUUCCUUUCGACUUCUCUAUAAUUUAUUCAUCUGCUGUUUGCAUUGCAAUAAUAUGAUUUCAUACUUUUAUUGAAGAACUAACUAGCUGAAAAAACACUGUUCUUAUACUUUUCUUGUCAACUAUAUAUAUUCCCUUUCUUAUUUGUCUAUUUGUCUUGGUGUGAGACACUAUUUUAUUGUCAGUGGUUAUUGUCUUGUUCUCUUAUUCUUUUUCCCAGUUGUUGUAAUCCUUGCAAUUAUUGGACAAAAUUCGUAUUUUGUUACUAUAGAAAAUUGAUUUUCCAGCAAAAUCCUAAGUCUAUGUAGAGGAGGAUGUCAAUUAACAUAGUUUAGUUUUUCUCAAUUUCAUAUUAUCCUUAUUGGUCCCUAUCUUAUUUACCAUGUAUUCUUUGGAUCUUCUCUAUGAGCGAGCUUGUUUUAGUACUGGAGAAUGUGGAAUAUGGAAACAUUAGAAGAACUGAUGGAAGCAUUCUCGCUGUCGUAUUUUUUAAUAGCCGUAAAGGUUCAAACUCACGAUCUUAUGUUCAUUUGUCUUGUGCUCAACCAUUGAGCUAAACAAGCUUUCUUUUUCAAGGUAUAUUUUUCAAUCAACGAAAUUAUAUGGGCGACAGGAGAUUUGGUUUCCUUGGGAUAGAAGUGGUGAGGGCAAGAUCUAUCUCUAUAUAGGGGACACCCUUUUCCCUUUUUCAUGUUGAGGACAUUGUUUGGAGGAGACUCUACAUGAUAUUGUUGAGGGUCAAAUGAAUGCUAAUGCCCCUAUGCUUCUGUUAAGUACAUAGAUUUCAGGUUUAAUAGAACUUUCAAUUUUUUUAAUAUGAAGUUUACUGUUAUUUGGUGCUAAUAAUGCAGCCAUGAUGGCAGUGGCAGACCUGAAAGGGUUUGGGAUGUAAAAUCAUCCACUCUCCUGUAGUAGCUUUGUCAAAGUAGAAUGUAUGCACUGGUUUGUUUAGACAAUAUGUGGGGCAAGUUCAAAUAUAUAAUUGUUAACUUCGAUUCUCACUGAAAACACCAAAUUGAAGUGUUUUUAUGUGCUAAUCUCCCCGACAAUAGUCGGGUGAGUAAAAAGCUCGUAUAGAGACUAGUUACAGAAACAAAUUCCAAAAGGGAUGAAUAUCCAAAACAUAUUUUGAGUUUAACUUAGUAGGAUAGUGGGUUAGUAGCCUACUAACUUAAUUUACUAACUGACAUACUACAAUACCACAUACUAUUACUAAUUACCAUACUACCAAGACACAAGAAAUACUUGUUUUCACAAGUUUCAUCUAGUGUGUGUGAGGUGUAGUUUUGUUAGUACUAAUGUUACUUUUGUUGAUCUGUAAACAUUCUUUAUUUUCCAUUUUCAAUAAAGGAAAAUCUCGUAAACAAAAUGCAGAGAAACAAUUCAGGGGAUGUUGCGAGUCUCCAUCUGGACAACCUCGGAUUGGGCCGGUAUAAGUGAACAGUUCAGAUUGGUUUGAAUAUACAAAACCUCCCCAUUGAUUAAAGGUUUGUCUAUGAUAACAUAGCUUUCUUUCACCCUGUUUCAUCUUGUCACUUUUUUUUAUUCCUUUGAUUGUCAUAAUAGUUAAUAAAUGCGACUAGGAUAAGUAUUCUAUUUUUAA